AUUGAACGCUGGCGGCAGGCCUAACACAUGCAAGUCGAGCGGAUGAAGGGAGCUUGCUCCUGGAUUCAGCGGCGGACGGGUGAGUAAUGCCUAGGAAUCUGCCUGGUAGUGGGGGAUAACGUCCGGAAACGGGCGCUAAUACCGCAUACGUCCUGAGGGAGAAAGUGGGGGAUCUUCGGACCUCACGCUAUCAGGUGAGCCUAGGUCGGAUUAGCUAGUUGGUGGGGUAAAGGCCUACCAAGGCGACGAUCCGUAACUGGUCUGAGAGGAUGAUCAGUCACACUGGACCUGAGACACGGUCCAGACUCCUACGGGAGGCAGCAGUGGGGAAUAUUGGACAAUGGGCGAAAGCCUGAUCCAGCCAUGCCGCGUGUGUGAAGAAGGUCUUCGGAUUGUAAAGCACUUUAAGUUGGGAGGAAGGGCAGUAAGUUAAUACCUUGCUGUUUUGACGUUACCAACAGAAUAAGCACCGGCUAACUUCGU
RNAcentral lists this ribosomal RNA (483 nucleotides) under uncultured bacterium. Its description in RNAcentral is "partial 16S ribosomal RNA". It matches the Rfam family "Bacterial small subunit ribosomal RNA", at positions 30 to 506 of the family's 1533-position model. The record is from RNAcentral.